UACGAAGGGGGCGAGCGUUGUUCGGAUUUACUGGGCGUAAAGGGCGCGCAGGCGGCUCAUUUUGUCAGGCGUGAAAGCCCCGGGCUUAACCUGGGAGGUGCGUUUGAUACGGAUGGGCUAGAGUUCGGGAGAGGAGAGUGGAAUUCCCAGUGUAGAGGUGAAAUGCGUAGAUAUUGGGAGGAACACCAGUGGCGAAGGCGGCUACCUGGACCGGUUCUGACGCUGAGGCGCGAAAGCGUGGGUAGCAAACAGG
Molecule: ribosomal RNA, 253 nt
Filed under: uncultured bacterium
Lineage: Bacteria
Description: partial 16S ribosomal RNA
Rfam family: Bacterial small subunit ribosomal RNA
Source: RNAcentral